UAGUCCACGCCGUAAACGAUGUUCACUCGCUGUUUGCGAUACACAGUAAGCGGCUUAGCGAAAGCAUUAAGUGAACCACCUGGGGAGUACGUCGGCAACGGUGAAACUCAAAGGAAUUGACGGGGGCCCGCACAAGCGGAGGAACAUGUGGUUUAAUUCGAUGAUACGCGAGGAACCUUACCUGGGCUUAAAUGUAGAUUGCAUGAUGUGGAAACACACUUUACUUCGGUACUAUCUACAAGGUGCUGCAUGGUUGUCGUCAGCUCGUGCCGUGAGGUGUCGGGUUAAGUCCCAUAACGAGCGCAACCCCUAUCGUUAGUUGCCAUCAGGUCAUGCUGGGGACUCUAACGAGACUGCCACCGUAAGGUGAGAGGAAGGUGGGGAUGACGUCAAAUCAGCACGGCCCUUAUGUCCAGGGCUACACACGUGUUACAAUGGUCGGUACAAAGGGCAGCUACACAGCGAUGUGAUGCUAAUCUCUAAAGCCGGUCUCAGUUCGGAUCGG
This 505-nucleotide ribosomal RNA is filed under the name uncultured bacterium. Its description in RNAcentral is "bacterial SSU rRNA". It matches the Rfam family "Bacterial small subunit ribosomal RNA", at positions 791 to 1301 of the family's 1533-position model. The record is from RNAcentral.